UAAAGUUGUUGCAGUUAAAAAGCUCGUAGUUGGAUUUCUGGUGGGAGCACGGGUCGGCCCUCACGGGUUGUACUGUUGUUGCGUCCUGCCGUUUCGGAGGGAAUGGCCUCGCUAUUAAGUUAGCGUGGUCGGGAACUCUGUCGUUUACUGUGAAAAAAUUAGAGUGUUCAAAGCAGGCCUUCGCUGUGAAUACAUUAGCAUGGAAUAAUAAGAUAGGACUGUAGUGCUAUUUUGUUGGUUUGCGUACUAUGGUAAUGAUUAAUAGGGAUAGUUGGGGGUAUUCAUAUUCAAUUGUCUGAGGUGAAAUUCUUGGAUUUAUGGAAGAUGAACUACUGCGAAAGCAUUUACCAAGGAUGUUUUCAUUAAUCAAGAACGAAAGUUAGGGGAUCGAAGAUGAUUAGAUACCAUCGUAGUCUUAACCAUAAACUAUGCCGACUCGGGAUUGGCCGACGUUGAUCUAAUGACUCGGUCAGCACCGUAUGAGAAAUCAAAGUCUUUGGGUUCCGGGGGGAGUAUGGUCGCAAGGCUGAAACUUAAAGGAAUU
Molecule: ribosomal RNA, 544 nt
Filed under: uncultured stramenopile
Lineage: Eukaryota
Also listed under: 1 other name
Description: SSU rRNA
Rfam family: Eukaryotic small subunit ribosomal RNA
Source: RNAcentral